This 274-nucleotide ribosomal RNA is filed under the name uncultured bacterium. RNAcentral describes it as "partial 16S ribosomal RNA". It matches the Rfam family "Bacterial small subunit ribosomal RNA", at positions 523 to 796 of the family's 1533-position model. The record is from RNAcentral.
AUACGGAGGGUGCAAGCGUUAUCCGGAAUCAUUGGGUUUAAAGGGUCCGUAGGCGGACUAUUAAGUCAGAGGUGAAAUCCCACAGCUCAACUGUGGAACUGCCUUUGAUACUGGUAGUCUUGAGUUAUAUGGAAGUAGAUAGAAUGUGUAGUGUAGCGGUGAAAUGCAUAGAUAUUACACAGAAUACCGAUUGCGAAGGCAGUCUACUACGUAUAUACUGACGCUAAGGGACGAAAACGUGGGGAGCGAACAGGAUUAGAUACCCGCGUAGUCC